Molecule: ribosomal RNA, 500 nt
Filed under: uncultured bacterium
Lineage: Bacteria
Description: partial 16S ribosomal RNA
Rfam family: Bacterial small subunit ribosomal RNA
Source: RNAcentral
AUUGAACGCUGGCGGAAUGCUUUACACAUGCAAGUCGAACGGCAGCACGGACUUCGGUCUGGUGGCGAGUGGCGAACGGGUGAGUAAUACAUCGGAACGUGCCCAGUCGUGGGGGAUAACGUAGCGAAAGAUACGCUAAUACCGCAUACGAUCAAAGGAUGAAAGCGGGGGAUCGCAAGACCUCGCGCGAUUGGAGCGGCCGAUGGCAGAUUAGGUAGUUGGUGGGGUAAAGGCUCACCAAGCCGACGAUCUGUAGCUGGUCUGAGAGGACGACCAGCCACACUGGGACUGAGACACGGCCCAGACUCCUACGGGAGGCAGCAGUGGGGAAUUUUGGACAAUGGGCGCAAGCCUGAUCCAGCCAUUCCGCGUGCAGGAUGAAGGCCCUCGGGUUGUAAACUGCUUUUGUACGGAACGAAAAGGCUCUGGUUAAUACCUGGGGCUCAUGACGGUACCGUAAGAAUAAGCACCGGCUAACUACGUGCCAGCCGCCGCAGUAA